GGUCAAGUGAAGAAGCGCAUACGGUGGAUGCCUUGGCAGUCAGAGGCGAUGAAAGACGUGGUAGCCUGCGAAAAGCUUCGGGGAGUCGGCAAACAGACUUUGAUCCGGAGAUCUCUGAAUGGGGGAACCCACCUAGGAUAACCUAGGUAUCUUGUACUGAAUCCAUAGGUGCAAGAGGCGAACCAGGGGAACUGAAACAUCUAAGUACCCUGAGGAAAAGAAAUCAACCGAGAUUCCCUUAGUAGUGGCGAGCGAACGGGGAUUAGCCCUUAAGCUUCAUUGAUUUUAGCGGAACGCUCUGGAAAGUGCGGCCAUAGUGGGUGAUAGCCCCGUACGCGAAAGGAUCUUUGAAGUGAAAUCGAGUAGGACGGAGCACGAGAAACUUUGUCUGAACAUGGGGGGACCAUCCUCCAAGGCUAAAUACUACUGACUGACCGAUAGUGAACCAGUACCGUGAGGGAAAGGCGAAAAGAACCCCGGAGAGGGGAGUGAAAUAGAACCUGAAACCGUAUGCGUACAAGCAGUGGGAGCCUACUUGUUAGGUGACUGCGUACCUUUUGUAUAAUGGGUCAGCGACUUAUAUUCAGUGGCAAGCUUAACCGUAUAGGGUAGGCGUAGCGAAAGCGAGUCUUAAUAGGGCGUUUAGUCGCUGGGUAUAGACCCGAAACCGGGCGAUCUAUCCAUGAGCAGGUUGAAGGUUAGGUAACACUGACUGGAGGACCGAACCCACUCCCGUUGAAAAGGUAGGGGAUGACUUGUGGAUCGGAGUGAAAGGCUAAUCAAGCUCGGAGAUAGCUGGUUCUCCUCGAAAGCUAUUUAGGUAGCGCCUCAUGUAUCACUCUGGGGGGUAGAGCACUGUUUCGGCUAGGGGGUCAUCCCGACUUACCAAACCGAUGCAAACUCCGAAUACCCAGAAGUGCCGAGCAUGGGAGACACACGGCGGGUGCUAACGUCCGUCGUGAAAAGGGAAACAACCCAGACCGCCAGCUAAGGUCCCAAAGUUGUGGUUAAGUGGUAAACGAUGUGGGAAGGCUUAGACAGCUAGGAGGUUGGCUUAGAAGCAGCCACCCUUUAAAGAAAGCGUAAUAGCUCACUAGUCGAGUCGGCCUGCGCGGAAGAUGUAACGGGGCUCAAACCACACACCGAAGCUGCGGGUGUCACGUAAGUGACGCGGUAGAGGAGCGUUCUGUAAGCCUGUGAAGGUGAGUUGAGAAGCUUGCUGGAGGUAUCAGAAGUGCGAAUGCUGACAUGAGUAACGACAAUGGGUGUGAAAAACACCCACGCCGAAAGACCAAGGGUUCCUGCGCAACGUUAAUCGACGCAGGGUUAGUCGGUUCCUAAGGCGAGGCUGAAAAGCGUAGUCGAUGGGAAACAGGUUAAUAUUCCUGUACUUCUGGUUACUGCGAUGGAGGGACGGAGAAGGCUAGGCCAGCUUGGCGUUGGUUGUCCAAGUUUAAGGUGGUAGGCUGAAAUCUUAGGUAAAUCCGGGGUUUCAAGGCCGAGAGCUGAUGACGAGUCGUCUUUUAGAUGACGAAGUGGUUGAUGCCAUGCUUCCAAGAAAAGCUUCUAAGCUUCAGGUAACCAGGAACCGUACCCCAAACCGACACAGGUGGUCGGGUAGAGAAUACCAAGGCGCUUGAGAGAACUCGGG
This 1651-nucleotide ribosomal RNA is filed under the name Pseudomonas aeruginosa. RNAcentral describes it as "partial 23S ribosomal RNA". It matches the Rfam family "Bacterial large subunit ribosomal RNA", at positions 1 to 1704 of the family's 2925-position model. The record is from RNAcentral. Lineage: Bacteria; Pseudomonadati; Pseudomonadota; Gammaproteobacteria; Pseudomonadales; Pseudomonadaceae.